Emiliania huxleyi CCMP1516 is the source of this 82-nucleotide non-coding RNA. Lineage: Eukaryota; Haptophyta; Isochrysidales; Noelaerhabdaceae. The record is from Rfam.
GACUGGAUGGCCGAGCGGUCCAAGGCGCUACGUUCAGGUCGUAGUCUCGAAAGGGGCGUGGGUUCGAAUCCCACUUCAGUCA